CACAUACUCCCUCCGUUCCGAAUUACUUGUCCUGGAUUUGUCUAGAUACGGAUGUAUCUAGACUCAUUUUAGUGCUAGAUACCUCCGUAUCUAGACAAAUCUAAGACAAGUAAUUCGGAACGGAGGGAGUAUAUA
Molecule: non-coding RNA, 135 nt
Organism: Triticum urartu
Lineage: Eukaryota; Viridiplantae; Streptophyta; Magnoliopsida; Poales; Poaceae
Source: Rfam